GGAUACUCUAAUUUCCCACCUAAGCAGUAUAAUCUUGAUGUCUAGCAUCUUGAAAUACAAUCAGAGAAGGAGGUUCAUUUUUACUUUUCCAUGUAUCAACCUGUAUGUAAUGCUUCAUUUUUGCACCAUUUUACAGGAGGACAUCACAUUUGCCUGAUCUUGUGUGCCUGAUCUCUCUGACUCCGGAGUCUCUUAUAAGUUGAGUGAUAAUUCACCUUAUAGACCAUUCCUGAGGUGAUUGUAACACGUGGGAGAAUUGAGCCUAUCAUGGGAAUGAACACACAAGCAGUGGGUCAGUGUGAAUCACCACAGAAAGCUGAGGCUGCAUUUCAAACUCCAGCAACACCACAAGCUCCUGAAAUGAAGACUCCCAAGUUUCCUGAUUGUCUAACUGGUUAGAGUCAAAGAUGGGAAACACUCAGGCAUCAACGAGCUCACCCUUGAAAUGCAUCCUAAGCCAUUGGGACUGAUUUGACCCACGAACCCUGAAAAAG
RNAcentral lists this long non-coding RNA (494 nucleotides) under Homo sapiens (human). RNAcentral's name for it is "HSALNT0369762". The record is from RNAcentral. Lineage: Eukaryota; Metazoa; Chordata; Mammalia; Primates; Hominidae.